AUUACGCAAGCUUUUCCGAAAUUAACACGAAUUUAAUUAUUUUUAAUCCUUGCUCGACGAUUCGAUUAUAUUUAUCUAAACUGGAAUUACGUUUUCGAAUGCUGCUUGUGUUUCCUAUUCACGUGGUGGAACAAUGAAGCUCGUCAGGAGCAAGAGCCAUCACCGAUGACUUUGUUGCGCGCUUAUAAAGCGAGAAUGUUAAAAGAGAAAAAAUCUCUAGUAGCUUAGUACCUCCCACGCUUUCCCGCCGUUGACAACCGCGGUGGGGUGUUCUUAUACUCGGAUGGCUCUUCCUUCGCUAUGACGACUGACGGCAUGCCAGUCUGUCAAGUUCGGUCUACGCGAAGCCUUCAUUCUUCUUCUGCGAAUCAUUGAAUUCUCUCGGACCCGUUGAUAUCGCACGAGGAGUCAUAGUUCCUGAAAAACACCACCAUCGUGUCAUUUACCCUUGAGACGACAGGACACGUUUGGAAAAAUCGAAAGGAAGCUUUCGAAUUUAUAUUUCUGUGCGAGAGAAAGCACGCGCACGUGUACGCGGCAAAUGAAUCGCUCGUAAACGAUCGACAAGUGAAAUGGGACUACCGACGACGAGACUCCUACCAAUUCUUUUGCUUCUGCUGGCCGUGGCACAAUCAAAUUUCGCGCAGGGCACAGAAUUCAUCCUUAUCGAUCAGAAAAUCCAGGCUGCUCUGAGACCGAAUUCAUAUGCAGAAACAGACAGUGCGUCGACCGUAAGAGAUAC
Molecule: non-coding RNA, 742 nt
Organism: Nylanderia fulva
Lineage: Eukaryota; Metazoa; Arthropoda; Insecta; Hymenoptera; Formicidae
Source: RefSeq, a predicted model, not a curated record